Molecule: ribosomal RNA, 656 nt
Filed under: uncultured marine eukaryote
Lineage: Eukaryota
Description: SSU rRNA
Rfam family: Eukaryotic small subunit ribosomal RNA
Source: RNAcentral
CCGCGGUAAUUCCAGCUCCAAUAGCGUAUAUUAAAGUUGUUGCAGUUAAAAAGCUCGUAGUUGAAUUUCUGAGCUCGCCGAGCGGCGGUCUUUGGCCGACCACUCCGCAAGUUCAUCCUCGCCCCUCGGGGCGUCAUUUACUGUGAAAAAAUUAGAGUGUUUAAAGCAGGCUUUAGGCUUGAAUACAUUAGCAUGGAAUAAUGAGAUAGGACCAAGUCGUAUUUUGUUGGUUGCGCGAUUCGGUAAUGAUUAAUAGGGACAGUUGGGGGUAUUCAUAUUUAAUUGUCAGAGGUGAAAUUCUUAGAUUUAUUAAAGAUGAACUACUGCGAAAGCAUUUACCAAGGAUGUCUUCAUUAAUCAAGAACGAAAGUCAGGGGAUCGAAGAGGAUUAGAUACCCUCGUAGUCUUGACCAUAAACUAUGCCGACUCAGGAUUGGCACCCCUUUUUUAACAGGGUGUCAGCACUGUAUGAAAAAUCAAAGUCUUUGGGUUCCGGGGGGAGUAUGGUCGCAAGGCUGAAACUUAGAGGAAUUGACGGAAGGGCACCACCAGGAGUGGAGCCUGCGGCUUAAUUUGACUCAACACGGGGAAACUUACCAGGUCCAGACAUGGUGAGGAUUGACAGAUUGAAAGGUCUUUCUUGAUUCUAUGGGCGG